This is a non-coding RNA of Odocoileus virginianus texanus, 1190 nucleotides long. The record is from RefSeq and is a predicted model, not a curated record. NCBI's taxonomy places the organism in Eukaryota, Metazoa, Chordata, Mammalia, Artiodactyla, Cervidae.
UCCCAAUGCAGGGGACAUGGGUUUGACCCUUGGUUGGGGAACUAAGAUCCUGCAUGUUGCAUGAUGUGUGCAAAAAAUAAAUGGGGACAAUGAUGGGAGACAUGAGGUUAAGUGUCAGUCAGGUAUGCCGAUUGGGGGGAAAGUAUUUUCAGCACCUUCUGUUCCAAUCACACCCAGUCAAUUGCAGUUUCUCAAAUGCUCUUUUCUAGUCCUUGUUUCAGUCUGGAAUAUUCUCUGAGGCCCCUUUUAAAAUCCUACUAAUAAUUCUUUUUUUUUUUUAAAUCCUACUAAUAACUCUUCAAAGCCCAAAUCAUAACGUCAUCUGCUCCAGCUUCAAUCCCUUUUUCCUCCACUGUUUUUUUUCCCCUGCUCAGCUCCAGUUGGUCCCUCACCACAUCCAACGAGUCUUUUCUGAUACUGCUUUGGGCUGCCCUACAAGCUGCAUGCCUCCAGCACAGCUCUUCUCACACUAUAGGCCUCCCUCCACCAAGACCUUCAGGCGUUUUACAAACCCAGGAAGAUCACAGGCCUUAUCUGCAGGCCCCUGACAGACCAGCAGGACUGGGAGUCCCAGACCCCUGGCUACUCUCUUCUUCCGGUUUUGCCGUCCCCCAGGGAAUCCCAAAAGCUUACCCCAGGGAGAACAGUCAGGCAGGCAACUGGAACCGCAGCAUGAGGCUGGAGUCUGGGAGUCUGCGAGGUGUCUGGAGAAGAUGCAGCUGCUGCAGCCUGGACCUGUCUGUACCUGCCCCAGGAGGGAGGGCAGGAGGAUCUCCCAGAAUGCCAAGCAGCCAGCUUCAGGCCAGCCCCAGCCAGAGGGAAACCGGUGGUGCUGGGAACCUUCGGGAUCCAACUGCAAGAGGAAAGAGACCAUUAGCUGCCUCUCCCACCUCAUUACAGCAUCUGAGCCUGCAUCUGGGGUCUGCAGCAGCUUUGACCUGGUCUUCCAUCCAUGCAACUGACCACCUCCUAUGGCAAGGCGGCAAGCUCGUUGUUGAAAUACGGAAAUGAGUGCUUCCAAGCUCCACGUGUCCUGCUAGGCGACUUCAGCAUCUGGAACCCCCCAGCCUGACGUCAGCCUUCACUCACCCAAACACUUCCAGCUUCCUCCCGAGCCCCGUUCUGGAUGAGCAGGGUCUGGGUCAGGGUGGCCUGUCGGGAGGCCAGGAACAGCGCCCGCCGCACCCCGC